AAGUGUAUCGAAGGACCUAACCGGUGAAGAUCAAGCGAGUCACGGACAUCUAAGGAUGAGCACAAGCUGCUAUCAUGGCGGAGCGAUAAUAACCCACAGAGGGAUAGAAGAUAUUCCUUAUCCUCGCAACGGCAUAAGAGGAGAUAGUCAUUAAAUGGCGUCGUGAACACGUAAGUGUCAAUGGACAGUGAACGCUGAAAGAAAAGGCGGAAACUGACAGCAGAUAUCUAAAGAGAUAUCUGUUUAGUGGGUCCCAUGUGUACGGGCGAUUAGGGGCUAGAGAUAGCCGGAUGUACACCUACA
RNAcentral lists this non-coding RNA (303 nucleotides) under unclassified sequences. RNAcentral describes it as "Clostridiales-3 RNA". It matches the Rfam family "Clostridiales-3 RNA". The record is from Rfam by way of RNAcentral.